Molecule: ribosomal RNA, 468 nt
Filed under: uncultured bacterium
Lineage: Bacteria
Description: partial 16S ribosomal RNA
Rfam family: Bacterial small subunit ribosomal RNA
Source: RNAcentral
GACGAACGCUGGCGGCGUGCUUAACACAUGCAAGUCGAACGGAAAGGCCCUGCUUUUGUGGGGUGCUCGAGUGGCGAACGGGUGAGUAACACGUGAGUAACCUGCCCUUGACUUUGGGAUAACUUCAGGAAACUGGGGCUAAUACCGGAUAGGAGCUCCUGCUGCAUGGUGGGGGUUGGAAAGUUUCGGCGGUUGGGGAUGGACUCGCGGCUUAUCCGCUUGUUGGUGAGGUAGUGGCUUACCAAGGCUUUGACGGGUAGCCGGCCUGAGAGGGUGACCGGCCACAUUGGGACUGAGAUACGGCCCAGACUCCUACGGGAGGCAGCAGUGGGGAAUAUUGCACAAUGGGCGGAAGCGUGAUACAGCAACGCCGCGUGCGGGAUGACGGCCUUCGGGUUGUAAACCGCUUUCGCCUGUGACGAAGCGUGAGUGACGGUAAUGGGUAAAGAAGCACCGGCUAACUACGUG